UCGCCUGUAGGUCAGAGGUUAGACUGCCGUCCUUCUAAGUCGGAGGUCGGGGGUUCAAAUCCCCCCAGGCGAG
RNAcentral lists this transfer RNA (73 nucleotides) under Polymyxa betae. RNAcentral's name for it is "tRNA-Arg". It matches the Rfam family "tRNA". From Rfam's summary of the family: Transfer RNA (tRNA) molecules are approximately 80 nucleotides in length. Lineage: Eukaryota; Endomyxa; Phytomyxea; Plasmodiophorida; Plasmodiophoridae. The record is from RNAcentral.